AACGAACGCUGGCGGCAUGCCUAACACAUGCAAGUCGAACGAGAUCUUCGGGUCUAGUGGCGCACGGGUGCGUAACGCGUGGGAAUCUGCCCUUUGGUUCGGAAUAACAGUUGGGAACGACUGCUAAUACCGGAUGAUGACGAAAGUCCAAAGAUUUAUCGCCAGAGGAUGAGCCCGCGUAGGAUUAGCUAGUUGGUGUGGUAAAGGCGCACCAAGGCGACGAUCCUUAGCUGGUCUGGGAGGAUGAUCAGCAAGACUGGGACUAAGACACGGACCAGACUCCUACGGGAGACAGCAGUGGGGAGUAUUGGACAAGGGGCGAAAGCCUGAUCCAGCAAUGCCGCGUGAGUGAUGAAGGCCGUAGGGUUGUAAAGCUCUUUUACCCGGGAUGAUAAUGACAGUACCGGGAGAAUAAGCUCCGGCUAACUCCGUGCCAGCCGCCGCGGUAA
Molecule: ribosomal RNA, 449 nt
Filed under: uncultured bacterium
Lineage: Bacteria
Description: partial 16S ribosomal RNA
Rfam family: Bacterial small subunit ribosomal RNA
Source: RNAcentral